ACACUCAUAUCUCUCACAUACCUUCGUACCCCUGGUGUCAUCCAACAAUGCAGACAAGUUUCAUUUGGUUUUAAACUCCAUAAUAAUAAUAACUUCUGUCAAACUGAUUCAAUAGCUCUGAUUUUUGUAUUCUUUGUAGCUCUUAGAAGAAAUGCCAACUGUUUUUAACUUCUGUGGUAUUAAAUGAAUGAAUGAAUGCCGAUUGAUUGAUUACAUCGUGGAUAAGCAUUAACAAAGUCUUGUGUUUAACCAACAGCCACUGUUGAGCAGCACCUUCGAGAUCUGCAACGGAUUAUCAACCCUUCUGGCCCAGAGGAUAAACAAGAUCUCUCCCGAAUGUUGGGUUAAAAAACACAACAUGAAAAAAGAUUAAUCUUCCACUGUAUUAUUUAGCUCUGCUUAAUGCAAACACAUUUUAAUAAUAUAUAAAUGUAACAUAUUUUACAUUUUUGUGACAGUUUAUUCAUCAACAUUAUUUGUAUUGUCACAUAUAAUACAGUGCUUUGAAUCAUUUUUGCACUUUUGAAUGUCAAAUGUGAAGUUUGUGUGUUAAUGUUUGUAUCUACACAGGAUGAAUAAGCGCAUCUUCUAUUUUUAGACUAAUUACAGAAAUUUAAAAACUUUCUUUGAAUGUAAUUAAUUGAGCCUGCCUCGUCUUUAUAAACAGAACUGCUUACGAUAUAUUAUCCAAUAAAGAGCCGGAAGCAACAGUUUGUCCCCAUGUGCGUCACCUAUUGUGUUACCUAUUGUGUAAUUAUCUACAAAAGACCCCUCGGCCCCUCCUGUAAUGUUUUAGACGAGAUUUUCUGGCACCGGCUCUUAAUCCCUCGACCGUGUUUAUGUUUACCUGCCAACGUGUCAGCAGUCCUGAAGAGGCACAUGGGGGGGACUUUUUGGAAGGCUCUUGUAUACAUGCUUUUGUUAAAAACAAUGUGCCAUCACUUUACUGUGGAGAACACGGAUAUCCAUUUUCUAAAUAAAAUCCUAAUACAUCUCUCACAAAGAAAACAGAAGGAUGGAGCUCGUCUUAACCUUUCCCAAAAGAUGUGAAUCGCCAAAAGCUGACAGAUUUUAAAUGUAAUCUUUGCUGGGUUUAUAAAAAAAUACAGAUACAGUAUUAAUAUAGAAAAAUAUAACAGGGUUGAUUGUGUGCAUAAGUAAAUAACCCAUAUUUUAACAUUUGUGAGGUAUGGAUUCAACACCACCAUGGAGGAGGGAAACCGAGCAUCAUGAGAACAGACAAACAUCCUGUUCGUUGCACUGUGGAAGGAUGGGAACGUUCUUUUAAUUCAAGAACCGAGAGUGUAUUGUGUUUGGCGCCAAUUAAUAAAAACAGCACUUAGACUUAGAGCUCCUUCCUGUCUAAAGGAUAUCCUUUGUUUAACGGCAAGUGUUUUUCCACGUUUGGGAUGGGCAGAGGAGCUGUGAGGAUGUCAAAGGUUAACUGGUUGGAUACUUCUGCGAAUCAGACCGACUGAGACACAGGAAGUGUUAAAACCUCAAGAAUGGAAAAUCAUCAUGAUGAUGCUGGCCAAUGUGUUUCCUGUCAUUUCAGUGCAUUAUCCUGCCCACUCUUGACAUUUCUUCAUUUCCUGUACACAAAGGAUGCGAUUGACCAAUGUUUUUACUGACACAGUUGGCAAUGAUUGCUAAUACAUAAUUAUUCAUUUACCUUGUAUACAAUAAACUACUAAAUUACAAACAGACAA
Long non-coding RNA from Gasterosteus aculeatus aculeatus (three-spined stickleback), 1709 nucleotides. The record is from Ensembl. Lineage: Eukaryota; Metazoa; Chordata; Actinopteri; Perciformes; Gasterosteidae.